CCAGACUCCUACGGGAGGCAGCAGUGAGGAAUAUUGGUCAAUGGGCGAUAGCCUGAACCAGCCAAGUCGCGUGAGGGAAGACGGCCCUAUGGGUCGUAAACCUCUUUUGUCGGGGAGCAAGGUCGCUACGUGCAGCGAUUUGAGAGUACCCGAAGAAAAAGCAUCGGCUAACUCCGUGCCAGCAGCCGCGGUAAUACGGAGGAUGCGAGCGUUAUCCGGAUUUAUUGGGUUUAAAGGGUGCGUAGGCGGGCUUUUAAGUCAGCGGUAAAAAUUCGGGGCUCAACCCCGUCCGGCCGUUGAAACUGGGGGCCUUGAGUGGGCGAGAAGAAGGCGGAAUGCGUGGUGUAGCGGUGAAAUGCAUAGAUACCACGCAGAACCCCGAUUGCGAAGGCAGCCUUCCGGCGCCCUACUGACGCUGAGGCACGAAAGUGCGGGGAUCGAACAGGAUUAGAUACCCCCGUA
This 462-nucleotide ribosomal RNA is filed under the name uncultured bacterium. RNAcentral describes it as "bacterial SSU rRNA". It matches the Rfam family "Bacterial small subunit ribosomal RNA", at positions 331 to 792 of the family's 1533-position model. The record is from RNAcentral.